RNAcentral lists this ribosomal RNA (2190 nucleotides) under Triticum aestivum (bread wheat). Its description in RNAcentral is "partial small subunit ribosomal RNA". Lineage: Eukaryota; Viridiplantae; Streptophyta; Magnoliopsida; Poales; Poaceae. The record is from RNAcentral.
AUGGACAUCACAUGCCUUGAAGAGACGCUAAAGAGUUUCCUGGAGAAACACAAGUAUUUGAUCAUAUUGGAUGAUAUUUGGACUCCAGAGGCAUUUGAUGACUUGUCUAGAGUACUUAUACAUAAUAAUAAAGGAAGUGGACUCAUAAUCACAACAAGGGAAUGCGAUGUUGCUUCACUUGCCACUCAGGGGCACAUCUUAAAGCUUAAAGCUUUGCUAGAAGACAAGGCAUGGGAUCUGUUUUGUAGGAAAGCCUUUCCAAGUGAUACAAAUCAUGCAUGUCCUAUGGAGUUGAAGCCUUUGUCCAGGGAACUAGCUAACAAGUGCAAAGGUUUGCCUCUUGUUAUUGUGUUAGUUGGUAGCCUCUUGCGUGUCCGUGACACAACUAUGGAAGAAUGGAGAAGAGUGCAUGACCAGUUGAGUUGGGAGGUAAAUAAUAAUUCGAGGCUGGAUCACAUACGGAAUGUGUUUCAUCUAAGCUUUAUCUACCUGCCAACACACUUGAAAAGUUGUUUCCUGUACUGCAGCCUAUUUCCAGAAGACUAUGUUUUCAAAAGGAAACAACUUGUACGGCUAUGGACGGCGGAGGGGUUCAUUGAGGAGAGGGGUGAAAGCACAUUAGAAGAAGUUGCAGAAGGUAAUCUAAAGGAGUUGGUCAACAGAAACAUGCUACAACUUGUGGAGAGGAACUCUUUUGGUAGGAUGAAAGGAUUCAGAAUGCAUGACAUCUUGCGUGAAUUGGCAGUUGACUUGUGUCAAAAGACCUGUUUUGGUGUUAUAUACAAGGAUAGGUGUGGUGGUCCUUUUGACACUGUUGGACGUCGAUUGGUACUGCACAAACUAAACAAGGAUAUUCAACGGUCAUUUUCUAGUGUAAAUCGACAUCGAACUGUCAUUGUACUGGAACAUAGCAUGCCAUCAUUCAAUCUUCUACCUCUUCUAUGUAAGGAAGCUAGAUAUAUGGCAGUCCUAGAAUUAAGUGGUCUACCCAUCAAGAAGAUUCCAGAUGCUAUUGGUGAUCUUUUUAAUCUGUGUCAUUUGGGUCUGCGUGAUACAAAAGUGAAGACGCUCCCCAAGUCUGUUGUGAAGCUUUCAAAUUUGUUGACACUGGACCUUCAUGGGUCUGACAUACAAGAGUUACCUAGUGGGAUUGGGAAACUCAAGAAGCUUAGGCACCUAUUUGCUGAGAGACCAAUUGAUCCAUCUUGGAGGGAAUUUAAGUGUCGCAGUGGUAUGUGUAUCCCCAAUGGUCUUGGAAAUCUAACAAACCUUCAGACGCUACAAGCAUUGGAAAUAGAUGAUAAGUCGCUUAGAGAUUUAGGAGAUCUGACACAACUUAGAAGCUUGAGGUUAUGGAAUGUGAAGGGAAUCUAUUGUGCACGCAUCGCUGAGUCUUUAGUUCAGAUGCGGUAUUUGUCCUUAUUAGAUGUGAGUGCAAGUGAUGAGAAUGAGGUUCUCUUGUUGAAUGUCUACCUGCCGAACCUGCAAAGGAUAUUUUUGAGAGGAAGACUAGCGGAAGGGGCAUUGGAUGAGUCUCCUCCCUUCCAGUCCACUGAUGGGCAGAACUUGUAUACGUUGUCUCUAUAUUGGUCACAGCUGAGAGAAGACCCCCUGCCAUCUCUCUCUCGGUUGUCAAAUUUGACGGAAAUAAAUUUUACUAGAGCAUACCAUGGAAAGUAUCUCGCAUUUCUCACGGGGUGGUUUCCCAAUCUGAAGGUUCUUCUGUUGAGAGACCUGCCUAAUCUGAAUCAGCUAGAGAUACAACAAGGUUCCAUGGCGAACCUGGAAUGCUUAGUAUUAAUCAACCUUAGCAGCAUGACUGAGGUCCCACCUGGCAUUGCGUUUCUCAUGCCCCUCCAACGUCUAGCCUUCUACGAAAUCACCAGUGAUUUCUUGACAUUGCUGCACCAAUGCCACCGCCUGGCCGGCUGGAAGGGAGAUGCUUCACAAUUUGAACGCAUGCAGAUUCGAUUCGUCAAUACAUCUCAAGAUGCAUAUCCAGUGCUAUCAUACAUUCGUGCUGCAGCUGAUCUGCUACAUACGUUCUGGGGUUUCAUCUGCUUUAUCAAGAUGUACUACUGCACCUGCCGUUUGUUGCUGGUUCCACCUCCACUACGGAGCUCUUCCCUUAUGCUAGCUGCUACUACUGCUGUGCCUAUGCUUGUCAAGUAUAACAAUAUUGCCUAUUAA